AUUGAACGCUGGCGGCAUGCCUUACACAUGCAAGUCGAACGGUAACAGGUCUUCGGAUGCUGACGAGUGGCGAACGGGUGAGUAAUACAUCGGAACGUGCCUAGUAGUGGGGGAUAACUACUCGAAAGAGUGGCUAAUACCGCAUGAGAUCUACGGAUGAAAGCAGGGGAUCGCAAGACCUUGUGCUACUAGAGCGGCCGAUGGCAGAUUAGGUAGUUGGUGGGAUAAAAGCUUACCAAGCCGACGAUCUGUAGCUGGUCUGAGAGGACGAUCAGCCACACUGGGACUGAGACACGGCCCAGGAGCCUGCGGGAGGCAGCAGUGGGGAAUUUUGGACAAUGGGCCCAAGCCUGAUCCAGCAAUGCCGCGUGAAGGAUGAAGGCCUUCGGGUUGUAAACUGCUUGUUUACGGAACGAAAAGCCCCGGGUUAAUACCCUGGGGUAAUGACGGUACCGUAAGAAUAAGCACCGGCUAACUACGUGCCAGCCGCCGCCGUAA
RNAcentral lists this ribosomal RNA (498 nucleotides) under uncultured bacterium. RNAcentral describes it as "partial 16S ribosomal RNA". It matches the Rfam family "Bacterial small subunit ribosomal RNA", at positions 30 to 523 of the family's 1533-position model. The record is from RNAcentral.